Molecule: ribosomal RNA, 219 nt
Filed under: uncultured bacterium
Lineage: Bacteria
Description: partial 16S ribosomal RNA
Rfam family: Bacterial small subunit ribosomal RNA
Source: RNAcentral
UAACCUGCCCAUGUGUCCGGGAUAACUGCUGGAAACGGUAGCUAAAACCGGAUAGGUAUACAGAGCGCAUGCUCAGUAUAUUAAAGCGCCCAUCAAGGCGUGAACAUGGAUGGACCUGCGGCGCAUUAGCUAGUUGGUGAGGUAACGGCUCAUCAAGGCGAUGAUGCGUAGCCGGCCUGAGAGGGUAAACGGCCACAUUGGGACUGAGACACGGCCCAA